UAUCUCUGUAGAGUCUGCAUAUCAAUAAGCGGAGGAAAAGAAACUAACUAAGGAUUCCCUCAGUAACGGCGAGUGAAGCGGGAAGAGCUCAAAUUUGAAAUCUUCAAGGUUCUACCUUGACGAAUUGUAGUUUAAAGAAGUGUUUUCUGUUAGAGUUGAGUAGCAAAAGUUCCUUGGAAUAGGGACAUCAUAGAGGGUGAGAAUCCCGUAUUUGGCUUAUUCAUUCUAGCUUUGUGAUACACUUUCAAAGAGUCGGAUUGUUUGGGAAUGCAGUCCAAAAUGGGUGGUAAAUUUCAUCUAAAGCUAAAUAUUGGCGAGAGACCGAUAGCGAACAAGUACCGUGAGGGAAAGAUGAAAAGAACUUUGAAAAGAGAGUUAAACAGUACGUGAAAUUGUCAAAAGGGAAGCGUUUGACACCAGUGUUGUUUUCUCGAAAAUCAAUUAAAAAAGGUCGGAUUUUGUGUAUUGCUUAAGACCUUAUCAGCUUACUUACUCUUUUCUUGUCUUUUUUAAUGCACUUUUCGUUUAACAAGUCAACAUCAAGUUUCUUUUGUUGUAAAAGAGGUCAUUGGAAGGUGGCUUUCACUUUCGGAUGAAAGUGCUUUAUAGCCUUUGGCUUCUGCAAUCGGAGAGACUUGAGGUCUGCAGCGUAGACUCCUUCGGGGCUUAGAUACAUUAGAUGCUAAGCUUAUAGCUUUUUUAUAGACAACUUGUUGACUAUAAUUAAGUCAUUGUAGGCUUACUCGCUUAUGCGCUAUUUUACCUACGCUUAGGAUGUUGAAGAUGUAGCGACAUCAU
RNAcentral lists this ribosomal RNA (798 nucleotides) under uncultured Neocallimastigales. RNAcentral describes it as "partial large subunit ribosomal RNA". It matches the Rfam family "Eukaryotic large subunit ribosomal RNA", at positions 24 to 634 of the family's 3401-position model. The record is from RNAcentral. Lineage: Eukaryota; Fungi; Neocallimastigomycota; Neocallimastigomycetes; Neocallimastigales.